CCUACGGGUGGCAGCAGUAGGGAAUCUUCCACAAUGGGCGCAAGCCUGAUGGAGCAACACCGCGUGAGUGAAGAAGGUUUUCGGCUCGUAAAGCUCUGUUGUUGGAGAAGAACGUUCGUGUGAGUAACUGAUCACCCCCUGACGGUAUCUAACCAGACAGCCCCGGCUAACUACGUGCCAGCAGCCGCGGUAAUCCGUAGGUGGCAAGCGUUAUCCGGAUUUCUUGGGCGUAAAGCGAGCGCAGGCGGUUGCUUAAGUCUGAUGUGAAAGCCUUCGGCUUAACCGGAGAAGGGCAUCGGAAACGGGGAGACUUGAGUGCAGAAGAGGAGAGUGGAACUCCAUGUGUAGCGGUGGAAUGCGUAGAUAUAGGGAGGAACACCUGUGGCGAAGGCGGCUGGCUGGUCUGCAACUGACGCUGAGGCUCGAAAGCAUGGGGAGCAAACAGGAUUAGAUACCCCUGUAGUC
This 465-nucleotide ribosomal RNA is filed under the name uncultured bacterium. RNAcentral's name for it is "partial 16S ribosomal RNA". It matches the Rfam family "Bacterial small subunit ribosomal RNA", at positions 338 to 795 of the family's 1533-position model. The record is from RNAcentral.